This 497-nucleotide ribosomal RNA is filed under the name uncultured bacterium. Its description in RNAcentral is "partial 16S ribosomal RNA". It matches the Rfam family "Bacterial small subunit ribosomal RNA", at positions 28 to 507 of the family's 1533-position model. The record is from RNAcentral.
GAUGAACGCUGGCGGCGUGCCUAAUACAUGCCAGUCGAGCGAACAGACGAGGAGCUUGCUCCUCUGACGUUAGCGGCGGACGGGUGAGUAACACGUGGAUAACCUACCUAUAAGACUGGGAUAACUUCGGGAAACCGGAGCUACUACCGGAUAAUAUAUUGAACCGCAUGGUUCAAUAGUGAAAGACGGUUUUGCUGUCACUUAUAGAUGGAUCCGCGCCGCAUUAGCUAGUUGGUAAGGUAACGGCUUACCAAGGCAACGAUGCGUAGCCGACCUGAGAGGGUGAUCGGCCACACUGGAACUGAGACACGGUCCAGACUCCUACGGGAGGCAGCAGUAGGGAAUCUUCCGCAAUGGGCGAAAGCCUGACGGAGCAACGCCGCGUGAGUGAUGAAGGUCUUCGGAUCGUAAAACUCUGUUAUUAGGGAAGAACAAAUGUGUAAGUAACUAUGCACGUCUUGACGGUACCUAAUCAGAAAGCCACGGCUAACUACGUG